RNAcentral lists this long non-coding RNA (1057 nucleotides) under Anas platyrhynchos platyrhynchos (common mallard). Its description in RNAcentral is "lncRNA (ENSAPLG00000030756.1)". Lineage: Eukaryota; Metazoa; Chordata; Aves; Anseriformes; Anatidae. The record is from RNAcentral.
AUGCAGUAUGGAGUAAACUGUGCACAAAAUGAAGCAGUGGGCAGUCAUACAUCGCCUCUGGAAUAAUACCUUUGAGGUAGCAAGAUGACUGACGUUGGGCGAGGUAGAUUUGUACAGCUAGUUCAGUUACAACCAGAGGCCUAAGAUCAAAGAUUCAUAAUCAAAGAUAUGAAGUCAAAGAUCCCUUCCUCUUUCCACAUUCCUCUCUCAAAGUUUAUUUAUCUCAUAAGUAGACAUUCUUUGAAUUAGAUCCUUGAAAAGAACAAUACCAUUUUUGUUUCCCUCAAAUCACAUCAAUACUGGUUGCAACUACUCACAGUCAGCUGAGUGCACUGCAUAAUUUAUUGUGUAAAAGCAGAUUUUCUUGUUGUUUCUGUGGUGCUGAGAUUAUCUUGCGUUAGAGGCAGGAAUCUCUCCCGCUCCAUUGCUUUUUCUUUUUGGACUAUAUAAGCCAUGUUUCAAAUUUACUGGAAUUAAGUCCCAGCUGCUGAAUAUCAACCUUUGAUCACAGAGGCUGGCACAAGUAAGUUUCUUGUUACGCUGUUGUUUUCUUUCUUCGUUAAAGAAUCUGCUUGGGAGAUUGUUAGUAAAACCUCCUUUUGCUGAGUUGUUAUUUCCCAAUUCACCUGCUCACUCCAGCUAAAGAAAAGCGUCAGCGUGCUCUAUAACAUUUCUUCAGCUUCCUGCCCUUCAGAAUUACAUGCUCUGGGACUUUAGAGAGCCACGCGGAGAAGAGCACGUUGCAGAAGCUCCUCCUCACUGCCUGUUCCUCUCCAAUUGUACUUGGCAUUUACAUGCUUUGGGAGCAGGCAUCUUGCUGAUGCCAGGAACAGACAGAUGAGGUCAGUGAGGAUAGAUGCUGUUCAGUGCUUCCUACAACAACCAAAAGGCACCUACUGGCAAUUGCAGAAGACUGGUCCAUCAGAAUCCAAAUUCUGGCAGAGACACAUUGCUGGACCAACCACCUGCUCUGAAGGCCUCAAACCUCGGCUCUGAUACAGCACUACUGCAGCUUAGGCUGCUGUGGGCAUUGUGCAAUCAUCAGGAGGAGCUGUGA